This 263-nucleotide long non-coding RNA is filed under the name Homo sapiens (human). RNAcentral describes it as "HSALNT0079583". Lineage: Eukaryota; Metazoa; Chordata; Mammalia; Primates; Hominidae. The record is from RNAcentral.
CCUAAAGUUGGGAGUUGGGGAGAGGUGUGGCUGUCGGUGAGACUAGGGCUGGAGUCUUGAUGCAGACACUUGGGAGGAAGCUCUUGCUUAGUCUCCAGCAAGUGGUUCUUGUCUAGUUUCCUGGCUGUGGGUUGUGACUAUCAUUUGCUAAAACUUUGGAGAAGAAGGAGUGCUCAAAUAUUGAGGUGUCCUGAUAAUAUAACUCCUGGUUUGCUCAGAGUUAACAAGAUCAACCUUGCUGGGAAAUGAACAAGCGACCAGGU